This is a non-coding RNA of Potamilus streckersoni, 73 nucleotides long. The record is from the annotation of a GenBank genome assembly. Lineage: Eukaryota; Metazoa; Mollusca; Bivalvia; Unionida; Unionidae.
GCUCAGGUGGCCUAGUGGUUAGAGCGUCCGCCUUGUAUGCGGGAAGUCGUGUUUUCGAUUCCCGGUUGAGUCA